This 253-nucleotide ribosomal RNA is filed under the name uncultured prokaryote. RNAcentral's name for it is "partial 16S ribosomal RNA". It matches the Rfam family "Bacterial small subunit ribosomal RNA", at positions 525 to 777 of the family's 1533-position model. The record is from RNAcentral.
ACGGGGGGGGCAAGCGUUGUUCGGAAUUACUGGGCGUAAAGGGCUCGUAGGCGGCCAACUAAGUCGGACGUGAAAUCCCUCGGCUCAACCGGGGAACUGCGUCCGAUACUGUCUGGCUUGAGUCCUGGAGAGGGUAGUGGAAUUCCCAGUGUAGCGGUGAAAUGCGUAGAUACUGGGAGGAACACCGGUGGCGAAGGCGGCUACCUGGACAGGUACUGACGCUGAUGCGCGAAAGCUAGGGGAGCAAACAGGA